Molecule: ribosomal RNA, 532 nt
Filed under: uncultured bacterium
Lineage: Bacteria
Description: bacterial SSU rRNA
Rfam family: Bacterial small subunit ribosomal RNA
Source: RNAcentral
AAUAGAUACCCCGGUAGUCCACGCCGUAAACGAUGAGUGCUAAGUGUUAGAGGGUUUCCGCCCUUUAGUGCUGCAGCUAACGCAUUAAGCACUCCGCCUGGGGAGUACGGCCGCAAGGCUGAAACUCAAAGGAAUUGACGGGGGCCCGCACAAGCGGUGGAGCAUGUGGUUUAAUUCGAAGCAACGCGAAGAACCUUACCAGGUCUUGACAUCCUUUGCCAACCCUAGAGAUAGGGCGUUCCCCUUCGGGGGACAGAGUGACAGGUGGUGCAUGGUUGUCGUCAGCUCGUGUCGUGAGAUGUUGGGUUAAGUCCCGCAACGAGCGCAACCCUUGAUCUUAGUUGCCAGCAUUCAGUUGGGCACUCUAAGGUGACUGCCGGUGACAAACCGGAGGAAGGUGGGGAUGACGUCAAAUCAUCAUGCCCCUUAUGACCUGGGCUACACACGUGCUACAAUGGAUGGUACAAAGAGCUGCGAACCCGCGAGGGUAAGCGAAUCUCAUAAAGCCAUUCUCAGUUCGGAUUGUAGGCUG